Rhinopithecus roxellana (golden snub-nosed monkey) is the source of this 2230-nucleotide RNA transcript. It is a transcript of the gene named cilia and flagella associated protein 157, with no coding region annotated. NCBI's taxonomy places the organism in Eukaryota, Metazoa, Chordata, Mammalia, Primates, Cercopithecidae. The record is from RefSeq and is a predicted model, not a curated record. The transcript is spliced from 9 exons.
CCUCUUCCUGGGGCCUGGAGCCCUGGUUGCCAUCAGCCAUGGCUCCCAAAAAGAGUGUGAGCAAGGCAGGCAAGGAGCUUGAAGUCAAGAAGAAGAAGAAAGGCGGCAAGAAGGAGCCAGUGGUGGCCGUGGAGCCGCCUCUGGACAAGGAGACGAAGGAGUUCUACCACAUCCAGAUCCGAGACCUGGAGGACCGGCUGGCCCGGUACCAGCGGAAGUGGGAUGAGCUGGCUGUGCAGGAGAAGCUGUUCCGCCAGGAGUUCGAGCAGCUGGCCAAUAACAAGAAGGAGAUUGUGGCCUUCCUCAAGCGCACGCUCAACCAGCAGGUGGAUGAGAUCACAGACCUCAACGAGCAGCUCCAGAACUUGCAGCUAGCCAAGGAGAUGGAGAAGGAUGCCUUCGAGGCGCAGCUAGCCCAGGUGCGCCACGAGUUCCAGGAGACCAAGGACCAGCUCACCACGGAGAACAUCAUCCUUGGGGGGAAGCUGGCAGCCCUGGAGGAGUUCCGGCUGCAGAAAGAGGAGGUCACGGACAAGUUUACGUUGCUGGAGGAGCAGGUGCGGAAGCAGGAGAAUGAGUUCAGGGACUAUGCGUACAACCUGGAGAAGAAGUCGGUGCUGGACAAGGACAGACUGAGGAAAGAGAUCAUCCAACGCGUGAACCUCGUGGCCAGUGAGUUCCACAAGGUGACCACGAACCGGAUGUGGGAGACAACGAAGCGGGCCAUCAAAGAGAACAACGGCAUUACCCUGCAGAUGGCCAAGGUCUCCCAGCAAGGCAUGAAGCUGCUGCAGGAGAAUGAGCAGCUCAAGGGAAGCCAGAGCAAUCUGUGCAAACAGCUGGAGCUGCUGGAGAACACCCAGAAAGUCAUGGCCAGGCACAAAAGAGGCCACCAGAAGAUUAUACUCAUGCUGGCCAAGAAAUGCCAGGAGCAGCAGCAGGACACCAAGGAGGCCAAGGAGCUGCGCCUCCUGCUGAGCCAGUUGGAGCAGAGAUCCCUGCAGCUGCAGGUGGACAACCAGGCACUGAAGAGCCAGAGAGACCAGCUGAGCUUGCAGCUGGGGCAGCAGCAGGGGGAUUUGCAGCGGCUACAGCAGGAACUGGCUAAUGAGCAGAAGGUUCGGGCCAGCCUGGAGGCGGCCCUGGUCCAGGCCACCUCCUUCCUCCAGAACAUACUGCAGACAGGGAAAACUUCGUGGAAACGGGCAAUGAGGUUGGAGGUUCCUGGAGGAGGGUGGGUACUGGGGCCACUGUGGGCCUGCUGCCACCCCACCCUCACCAACAGAUGCACCCCAAUGAAGAGGACAACGACUUCGACGUGACAUUCCAGCCAUGGCACAAGGAGAUGCUGCAGCAACUGCUGGUCAUGCUCAGCUCCACUGUGGUCCCGAGACCCCAGAAGGCUGUCUGUCCCCACCCGGAGUCACAGUCCCAUAGCCCACCCAAGGAGAGCCGGCCCAGCAUCCAGCUGCCCAGGACUGGGUCUCUGCUGCCGCAGCUCUCUGACAUCACCCACUACCAGCCGGGGGAUCUAGGCCUGGUACCUCGCCAGGCCCACAUCCCACCCAACCCCCAGGACCUCAGGCUGCUGUCAUCUAUCACCCGUGUGGGGACCUUCCGGGCACACAGCAGCCCUGAGAUGCGUGCCCCUGCUUCUCUAAAAAGGCUCAAAACGUUUAGUCUUCCUGAAGUUCUCCUACCUUCCAAAUAGGACACAGAGAGAAGAACCUACUUCAGAAAUGGACUGGUCCAGUCACAGUCACCCCCACUUUAAUCCGCAGGCAGCCUGCAACAGUCUACAGGACAGUUGUAUAAAAAGUAGAUACCAAGGCUGGCAUGGCAGCUCUGUGGCCCUGGCUGGGUUGGUGGGUACUACAGUCAGGCGGGCAGCCAUGGCCACUGGUGUCACGGCCCCAAUGAGGGCCCCUGGCUUCGCUCACGAAUGUGGUCCAAGAUCAGGUCGGUGGCUCGAUCCAGCAACAGAGGCAGCAGCUCCUGCUCAGCAGGGGAGAAGCAGCCCAGCACAUGGGCCUGUACCGCCUCAGGGUGUGUCGGGCGCCCGAUGCCCACCCGCAGCCUUGGCAUUGCCUGUGGGAGAGCCAGAGAGGCCCAGGAAGCUUUGGCGAGGUGCUGGGGGACCCCUGGCCCACCCAACCCAGUUGCACAACAAAAGGGUAGACUCACAUUGGAGUUGAGGCAGCUAAUGCAGGAACGGACUCCAUUGUGGCCC